GAGCAACAAGAACAUCCAUGAACAGGCUCUGACACAUUUGCACUACUUCAGUUUGAGAGGCGUCAGUACAGAGCUUUCUACAAUGGUCUGUACGAUGUGAAUGCAAACUCUGAUGAAGACCAUGAGAUGAACUUGAAAUCUCCAGAAAAAGUAUGCAGGACCAGAGACCCAGCAGUCCUCAGGGGGGACGCUGCGCCUGACAUGGAUGCUCCCGUUCCCUUCCUCGCCCUGCAGCUGUGCACAUAAGCCCCUUGAUCAUAAGCAGAUAUGGCCUGGGGACUACUGAACACGGACCAUUCUGGGAAAAAUAUCGAUGGGUGGUGGCAGGAAACUUUAAAUGGAGUGGAGGAGGAGUGAAGUGUGAGGCAUGUGUGGCUCUUCCAUGGACUGGAUGGCCGACUCCACCAGCGUUACUGCGGCCUCCAGGUCGUCACCGUGCCGACGCAUGAGA
Molecule: long non-coding RNA, 451 nt
Organism: Dicentrarchus labrax (European seabass)
Lineage: Eukaryota; Metazoa; Chordata; Actinopteri; Moronidae
Exons: 4
Source: RefSeq, a predicted model, not a curated record